This 497-nucleotide ribosomal RNA is filed under the name uncultured bacterium. Its description in RNAcentral is "partial 16S ribosomal RNA". It matches the Rfam family "Bacterial small subunit ribosomal RNA", at positions 28 to 507 of the family's 1533-position model. The record is from RNAcentral.
GAUGAACGCUGGCGGCGUGCCUAAUACAUGCAAGUCGAGCGAACGGACGAGAAGCUUGCUUCUCUGAUGUUAGCGGCGGACGGGUGAGUAACACGUGGAUAACCUACCUAUAAGACUGGGAUAACUUCGGGAAACCGGAGCUAAUACCGGAUAAUAUUUUGAACCGCAUGGUUCAAAAGUGAAAGACGGUCUUGCUGUCACUUAUAGAUGGAUCCGCGCUGCAUUAGCUAGUUGGUAAGGUAACGGCUUACCAAGGCAACGAUGCAUAGCCGACCUGAGAGGGUGAUCGGCCACACUGGAACUGAGACACGGUCCAGACUCCUACGGGAGGCAGCAGUAGGGAAUCUUCCGCAAUGGGCGAAAGCCUGACGGAGCAACGCCGCGUGAGUGAUGAAGGUCUUCGGAUCGUAAAACUCUGUUAUUAGGGAAGAACAUAUGUGUAAGUAACUGUGUGCAUCUUGACGGUACCUAAUCAGAAAGCCACGGCUAACUACGUG